AGGAGUUGAGCAAGAAGAGGCUGUGCUAAGAAGCUAACUUGAGCAGAAAUGUUGAACUUGGGUGAACUGAUGAGUGCAGGUAUGUGCCCUAUAUAUACUCACAAUCUAAGUGCUGAAGGCAUUCGUGGUAUCAGGAGUUGUUAGCUCCUGAAGACUUGGAAUCUUAACUUUAAGGCGUAGGCAGGUGUACUGUAUUAUAUUGGUUGCCAUCACUGGAAAUAUUGUGGUAUGUCCACUCUCAUAGCCUACAUAAAAAUAAGGAGUGUUCAUUGCUAUUCCACAUCGAUGAAUAAAAUCUGCUGACCACUCUCACUUAUUCCCUAUAUCUGCAACCCUAGACAUGAUACGCUCCUGCUGAAAAGUAGAUUGCCUUUGGACUUGUCUUUUAGAUUGACACCUCAUGUUUCUCAUUCUCAACAAGAACUUUCUGUAACUCUUCCUCAGUAAGAGUUGUAGGCAAAUGGGAUAAGUAAGCAUCAGCCCCCUGGUAGGGCAAUACUUGCCAAGGUUCUAUACUUCUAUCUCCAUACUGUAGACAACAAGAAGUUAGAGCGUACCUACUAUUUGAUGGCAUUGCAGUGAGGAUCAUUUCUCAAUAUAAAUUACAAAAGAGGUUUCUUGAGCAUGAUUGGUUGGGAAUAUUGGACUGCAACAAUAAAAAAGUGCUAGAGGAUUUUCUUGACACUUGUUCACUGUCUUCUACCAAAUCAAUAAUUCCUGUCUUCCUUUAUAGCAGUUCUUUUAUCAAGUAGAUGCUUGAUAAGCAAAUUAGUGGUACAGCUGUGUGGUUUAUUUCAGUGCAUGCCGACAUCUAGAAUUCAGAAUCAAGUUUUCGUCAUUCAAAGAUUAUAGGUUAGGGUGGGUUCUUAGAUAAUGAUGACGAUGGUAAAUUGGCUUUAUUUGAUCUACAACAUUCUGUUAUUCACUGCUCUCCAAGUAUGUCUAUCUAAAGUUCUAAACAUAUUAGUCCUGUUCUUUAUCUAUCAAGCGAGAUUUUGCUCAAAGACUAAAACAGCCUUCUUUCGGAACAAACAUUUUGGCAUGUUUUGAACUGUCACAAUAUCUGCUCUAUUGUAACAAAAUUUGAAAAUCCAAUUUUCUUUUAUUUUAAUAUGCAUAAUAGGUGGUGCAGUCAAUUAUAAUAUAAAAUCAGUCUGCUAUUUUUUUUGUCCAAAAUAUUUACCCUUUUCUGUGUCUCUGUAGUUCUAUGAUCUCACCCCCCCGAGUUCAAGCUACUACCUAAAACACCAGUCCAAGUCACAUUCCAAGGGCAGUAGGCCUUCUAGAAUCAUUUUAUAAGUUGCUUGACACACAAUCACUCAUAUUGCGGAACUGAACAUCUAAACUCACUUGUCAGCUGUUCUCAAGAUUCAAACUUUCACACGAAACUCAGAAUUUCACUUAAGGGCUGUUGACAGUACGCAUAUUCUGCUAAUAAACUUUCUAUAGAAGUUUAUUGUACUCUGUACAUCUCUAUUUUACUAGUUUUCCUGAUGGAAUAUGAUCUCUGACAAAUAGGUCAGAAUGCAGCUUCUUACGAAUACUCCUAGGGGGGUGCAUUUGCCUUUUGAAAUGUCUGCCGCUCUGUCUUCCUUGCUUUCUGACAGAAUAUGAUUUGUGUAAUACAACGUCCUAAUCUUCUUAUCAUGACAGGAAUAUGCCUGCGGAGCUGAUGGACUCUACAUAAAGCGGACGCAGAAAGCAGAGAUAGAUAAGGCAAAGGCCUACUACAUUUAUUCUUGACCAACAGGGGCCCGCGGAAUCCCAUUUUAUUCCUGUAAUUCGCACCAAAGAUUUUAUGUCAAUCACGCCUCCCCCUUCUGAUGUUAUGUUCCCACUUGCAGAACGCAGGCCUUGAGCUGUGCAUCGAGGAAUCAAGCCACUGGUUUUCUCAGUCCUCCACUCCUGCUGGCACCUAAAU
This 1921-nucleotide long non-coding RNA is filed under the name Oryza sativa (Asian cultivated rice). RNAcentral's name for it is "long non-coding RNA (OSAT_LNC000804)". The record is from RNAcentral. Lineage: Eukaryota; Viridiplantae; Streptophyta; Magnoliopsida; Poales; Poaceae.